Molecule: ribosomal RNA, 253 nt
Filed under: uncultured bacterium
Lineage: Bacteria
Description: partial 16S ribosomal RNA
Rfam family: Bacterial small subunit ribosomal RNA
Source: RNAcentral
UACGAAGGGAGCUAGCGUUGUUCGGAAUUACUGGGCGUAAAGCGCGCGUAGGUGGCUUUUCAAGUCAGAGGUGAAAUCCCAGAGCCUAACUCUGGAAUUGCCUUUGAAACUGUUAAGCUUGAGUAUCGGAGGGGAUGGUGGAAUUUCUAAUGUAGCGGUGAAAUGCGUAGAUAUUAGAAGGAACACCGGUGGCGAAGGCGACCAUCUGGACGAUAACUGACACUGAGGCGCGAAAGCGUGGGGAUCAAACAGG